UACGGAGGGUGCAAGCGUUGUUCGGAUUCACUGGGUAUAAAGGGUGCGUAGGCGGCCUUGUAAGUCAGAGGUGAAAGCUGCCGGCUUAACUGGCAAAUUGCCUUUGAGACUGCAAGGCUUGAGUCCGGGAGAGGAAGGCGGAAUUCCAGGUGUAGCGGUGAAAUGCGUAAAUAUCUGGAGGAACACCGGUGGCGAAGGCGGCCUUCUGGUCCGGUACUGACGCUGAGGCACGAAAGCCAGGGGAGCAAAC
RNAcentral lists this ribosomal RNA (250 nucleotides) under uncultured bacterium. RNAcentral describes it as "partial 16S ribosomal RNA". It matches the Rfam family "Bacterial small subunit ribosomal RNA", at positions 524 to 773 of the family's 1533-position model. The record is from RNAcentral.